Molecule: non-coding RNA, 24 nt
Filed under: Mus musculus (house mouse)
Lineage: Eukaryota; Metazoa; Chordata; Mammalia; Rodentia; Muridae
Source: RNAcentral
UGGAGAAGGAGCAGGCGCUGGCGG